CAAUAGCGUAUAUUAAAGUUGUUGCAGUUAAAAAGCUCGUAGUUGGAUUUCUGGUUGAAGCGACCGGUCGGGCGUUGAUUCGUCUGCACUGGAGUCGGUUUUGGCCAUCCUCUAGGAAAGUGCGUCUGGUAUUAAGUUAUCGGGCGUAUGAUCCUGGUCUUUUACUGUGAAAAAAUUAGAGUGUUUAAAGCAGGCCUUCGCCUUGAACACAUUAGCAUGGAAUAAUAAGAUAGGACUUUGGUCUAUUUUGUUGGUUUGCAGACCGAAGUAAUGAUUAAUAGGGAUAGUUGGGGGUAUUUAUAUUCCGAUGUCAGAGGUGAAAUUCUUAGAUUUUCGGAAGAUAAACUUAUGCGAAAGCAUUUACCAAGGAUGUUUNCAUUAA
This 382-nucleotide ribosomal RNA is filed under the name uncultured eukaryote. RNAcentral's name for it is "partial 18S ribosomal RNA". It matches the Rfam family "Eukaryotic small subunit ribosomal RNA", at positions 592 to 976 of the family's 1831-position model. The record is from RNAcentral.